This 804-nucleotide long non-coding RNA is filed under the name Marmota monax (woodchuck). The record is from RNAcentral. Lineage: Eukaryota; Metazoa; Chordata; Mammalia; Rodentia; Sciuridae.
AGGAGCCGGAGCUGCCUAUUAAGCUCAAUCAAGAUGACAACCUUGGACUGGGGCUGGGGCUCAAGUGGUAGCGCGCUCGCCUGUCAUGCGUGCGGCCCGGGUUCGAUCCUCAGCACCACAUACAAAGAUGUUGUGUCCGCCGAGAACUGAAAAAAUAAAUAAAUAUUUUUAAAAAAAAGUUAAAAAAAAAAAAAAGAUGACAACCUUCCCAAAGCAUCAAGACUUCGUGGCAGAGCCUAUGGGGGAAAAGCCAGUGGGGAGCCUGGCUGGGAUUGGUGAAGUCCUGGGCAAGAAGCUGGAGGAAAGGGGCUUUGACAAGGCAUAGUCGUCCUCGGUCAGUUUCUGAUGCUAAAGAAAGAUGAAGACCUCUUCCAGAAUGGCUGAAGGACACAUGGUGCCAAUGCCAAGCAGUCCCGGGACUGCCUUGGGUGCCUUUGAGAAUGGUGUGAUGCCUUCUUGUGAGGUUCUCUGGGGAGCCCUCAAUCCCUAGCCCCAUUAUCAAGUCUCCAGAGUCUGCAGCUGAGUGGGGGCUCCUUGUCCUCUGUAAAGGAAGAGAUUGCUGUUGUCAUACUCCAGGGUCUUUGGAGUUCUCUCCCCUCACCAUUUCAAUCUUUUUGGAAUUUUUGCUCUUGCAUGCAACUCCCUUUCUCUUUCCCCUGCCAGUUCCAUGGAAACCAUUAACCAGCUUUUCCGAUUAGAUUCCUGGCCCCUUCCUUCACCCCCACCUUCACCUCUGGUCUGUUUGAUGCCAUUUGGCACUUUUUUUUGGAUAACAGCCACUGUCCUUGUAAAGGUUUUUAGAUC